CACGCCAAUUUUAGCCAAUCCAAUGCUUUCCCUUUGGAAAAAAUAGUGAAAGCAUUGGAUUGGCUAAAAAUUGGC
This is a non-coding RNA of Pelobates cultripes (western spadefoot toad), 75 nucleotides long. The record is from the annotation of a GenBank genome assembly. NCBI's taxonomy places the organism in Eukaryota, Metazoa, Chordata, Amphibia, Anura, Pelobatidae.